Molecule: ribosomal RNA, 424 nt
Filed under: uncultured bacterium
Lineage: Bacteria
Description: partial 16S ribosomal RNA
Rfam family: Bacterial small subunit ribosomal RNA
Source: RNAcentral
UAUUUGUUACAAUUGGGGAAACCCUGAUCCAGCCAUCCCGCGUGUAUGAUGAAGGNCUNNGGGUUNUNAAGUUCUUUUGGCGGNNNNNAAAAGGUAUCCCCUAAUACGGGAUACUGCUGACGGUAUCUGCAGAAUAAGCACCGGUUAUCUACGUGCCAGCAGCCGCGGUAAUACGUAGAGUGCAAGCGUUAAUCGGACUUAUCGGGCGUAAAGCGUGUGUAGGCGGUACGGAAAGACAGAUGUGAAAUCCCAGGGCUCAACCUUGGAACUGCAUUUUUAACUGCCGAGCUAGAGUAUGUCAGAGGGGGGUAGAAUUCCACGUGUAGCAGUGAAAUGCGUAGAUAUGUGGAGGAAUACCGAUGGCGAAGGCAGCCCCCUGGGAUAAUACUGACGCUCAGACACGAAAGCGUGGGGAGCAAACAGG